Molecule: ribosomal RNA, 884 nt
Filed under: Albophoma yamanashiensis
Lineage: Eukaryota; Fungi; Ascomycota; Sordariomycetes; Hypocreales; Ophiocordycipitaceae
Description: partial large subunit ribosomal RNA
Rfam family: Eukaryotic large subunit ribosomal RNA
Source: RNAcentral
AACAUAAGCGGAGGAAAAGAAACCAACAGGGAUUGCCCCAGUAACGGCGAGUGAAGCGGCAACAGCUCAAAUUUGAAAUCUGGCCCCCAGGGCCCGAGUUGUAAUUUGCAGAGGAUGCUUUUGGCGCGGUGCCUUCCGAGUUCCCUGGAACGGGACGCCAUAGAGGGUGAGAGCCCCGUCUGGUCGGACACCAAGCCAGUGUAAAGCUCCUUCGACGAGUCGAGUAGUUUGGGAAUGCUGCUCUAAAUGGGAGGUAUAUGUCUUCUAAAGCUAAAUACCGGCCAGAGACCGAUAGCGCACAAGUAGAGUGAUCGAAAGAUGAAAAGCACUUUGAAAAGAGGGUUAAACAGUACGUGAAAUUGUUGAAAGGGAAGCGUUUAUGACCAGACUUGGGCCCGGUGAAUCAUCCAGCGUUCUCGCUGGUGCACUUUGCCGGGCUCAGGCCAGCAUCAGUUCGCCGCGGGGGAUAAAGGCUUCGGGAACGUGGCUCCCUCGGGAGUGUUAUAGCCCGUUGCGUAAUACCCUGUGGCGGACUGAGGUUCGCGCUCCGCAAGGAUGCUGGCGUAAUGGUCAUCAGCGACCCGUCUUGAAACACGGACCAAGGAGUCGUCUUCGUAUGCGAGUGUUCGGGUGUCAAACCCCUACGCGUAAUGAAAGUGAACGCAGGUGAGAGCUUCGGCGCAUCAUCGACCGAUCCUGAUGUUCUCGGAUGGAUUUGAGUAAGAGCAUACGGGGCCGGACCCGAAAGAAGGUGAACUAUGCCUGUAUAGGGUGAAGCCAGAGGAAACUCUGGUGGAGGCUCGCAGCGGUUCUGACGUGCAAAUCGAUCGUCAAAUAUGGGCAUGGGGGCGAAAGACUAAUCGAACCUUCUAGUAGCUGGUUCC